RNAcentral lists this long non-coding RNA (1231 nucleotides) under Gossypium barbadense (sea-island cotton). Its description in RNAcentral is "long non-coding RNA (GBAR_LNC019761)". The record is from RNAcentral. Lineage: Eukaryota; Viridiplantae; Streptophyta; Magnoliopsida; Malvales; Malvaceae.
CCCUUCCUCGUUCCAUGCUAUUAAACCCGAUGCCGAUCUGAAAUCCUGACUGUUGAAGGCUGCAUCAAAAUGAAUAAUGGUCCUACCGCUUCUGGACACCUGUUGAGAAAACUCAUGAGACAAAAGAGUAAUUUUUCCUUCCUUUGUAACUGCAAGUUCUGUAAUAUAAUCGCUGAUCUUCCUAACGAUUUCUGAUCCUGACAUAUUCUUUCUUUCAUAAACGAGCUGGUUUCUACUGAACCAUAUGAACCAGAGGCUACAACAGAAGAGUCGAAGUUGUUCAUCAGUUCCUCUAGCAAAGACCCAUUUAAGCCAACCCCAUAUAUUAUCAUUAUUCUAACUCAGUAGCCAUGAAAGAUUCAACUGAUUCCAAACUUCUAUCGAUGUAGGGCAUUUUUGGAAGAUAUGGUAGCUAUUCUCUUCAUCACAUCCACAUCUAGGACACUGGGAAUUCCUAACAACCCUUUUGAUUUUGAGGUUGCUAAAAGUUGGGAUAAAGUUCCAAGAGAUCCUCCAUACUGUCAUUUGAAUUUUUGAGGGAAUAUGUAAUUUCCAUAAUUUAGUAUAGAAAAUUUUUUCCUCGGUAUGUAACAUUAAUCCAUUAGGAUCAAGGUUAGUCUGCUGUAAUAGUUUAUAAGCACUCCUUACGGAGAACUCCCCUGUCGGUUCUCCUCUCCAUACUUGAAAGUCCUCUUGUACUGUCUCGCUAGUGGGAUCUGCAAAAUUUUCUCCGCAAUGACCGGUUGGAAGGUAUUUCUAAUCAACUCUAUUUUCCAACUCAUGAUAUUUGAAUCAAUUAAAUCAGAGACUAAUUUAAUAUUAUCAUUUCCAUCCUGAAUCGGUAUUCUGUCUGCUUCGAUCCCUGGUAUCCACGAAUCAAUCCAGAUGGAAAUUUGAUCACCUCUCCCCACCCUCCAUCCACGUCCUCUUUCAAGGAGUCCUCUCGCAGCCCAAAUGCUCUUCCAGGUAAAUGAAGGUAAAUUCCUCAACCGAGCUUCGUAGAAAUGAGAAUUAGGAAAAUAUUUUGCUUUCAAAACUCGGGCCAAUAAUGAAUCCGGAUAAUUAAUAAGACGCCACCCCUGCUUCGCUAAUAACGCAAUAUUAAACUGUGCAAAAUUACGAAAACCGAGACCUCCAUCUUCUUUAAGUAAACAAAUAUUCUUCCAAGUGCACCAAUGAAUACUUUUUUAUUUUGUCUCUUUCGCCACCAGAAAUUGGCUAUAAUUUUAUC